Molecule: long non-coding RNA, 692 nt
Organism: Dama dama (fallow deer)
Lineage: Eukaryota; Metazoa; Chordata; Mammalia; Artiodactyla; Cervidae
Exons: 2
Source: RefSeq, a predicted model, not a curated record
UUGUUAUUAAGACCCAGUAUAUUUGAAGAGAUUUCAAUAAAAUGUAAACAUCAUCAGCCUACAGACUUUGUUCUGAAAAACCUCAAGAAGUUACUCACUUAUUGUGAAGACAUCUACUUGUAUUACAAGCUGGCAUACGAACACAAACUUGAUGUUGUCAAUGUGCUUCUGAAGGACCCUCAGACUGGUUGCUGUCUAAAGGACAUGCUAGCAGGUUAGGAUGGAUUCAGAUGACACCUGAGGAUGGUUACUGCCAAGAAUUCUUUAAGUGCCUGUUUUCUUGUACUGAAAUGAGGUACUUACAGAUGUUUGUGGUCAGCCUAGAGAGAAAUGCAGUGGGGAACUUUGAUGUCUGAUUGUAAAACACCAGGACUGACCAUACCAGUCCUUUGUGAAUAGUGGGUAAAAGGAUGAGAAAUUUUCACAAGGAAAUUCCUUUUCGAAAAUGAUUAUAUGCAUCUAUAUGAUUUUUUUCUAUAUACCAAUAUCUAUAUAUCGGUAUUAAGAUCAAAAGUUCCAUCUUCCUCAGGAUAGUUUUACUUUAGGAGAUGAUACAAUAUUUAGUAAAGAAUAGCUGUGCCUGCAGAUUCCAGUUUCAAAGGAAUUUAAUAUUAUUUACACAGUUGAGGAACAGAUGAUACAUUUCCAUUUGUUAGAAACUGAUCUGUAUAAUAAAAUAGAUUUUAAAUUCA